Long non-coding RNA from Scatophagus argus, 659 nucleotides. RefSeq lists it as uncharacterized. The transcript is spliced from 3 exons. The record is from RefSeq and is a predicted model, not a curated record. NCBI's taxonomy places the organism in Eukaryota, Metazoa, Chordata, Actinopteri, Scatophagidae.
CUUUUGGAAAUCUGUUGCCAUGGAUACCACAACAAACAUCUCCGUAAACUCCGCCAGCCACACUUUCCUGCUCACGCAGCAAACGUCAUACAGGCAGAGAUGCCGAUCGCAUCUGGAGCUGCAGGCAGGGUGAAUGUAGGAGUUGACAGAAACACAACAUGGGCACCAGAUGGACUGAGGAAGACCAACCCUGCCCACAGAAACCAUGACUCCUAUCUGCAACGAUUUCUGGAGCAGAGAAAGAAAAACCAAAGUAGCUUGUUGCAGGUAAGUGCUGUUGUCAAGUGUAUGCUCAUAACUUGUUGGUUGAAAGGCUGAUGGACACCAUGUGGUGAUGUGACUGUCAUUCAAUUGAGUGAUGUUUCAUUCAGGGCGCACAGGACAACACAGAUCUGAUUGAUCAGGAGAAUGACGGUGAGAACGCUGACAAUUUGAAACAAAAGAAAACAUCAGGAUUACAUCAACAUUCACACAGUUAAAGUGAGUGAAAUCCUCCUUUAAUUUGUCUUUAGGGGCCAAAGAAGGGAACCCAGAGGAAAAUGGCAACAUCAACGAUCCCGCUUCAGAAAAAACAUCCAGGGGAGAGAAACCCAAAAAAUCUCUGCUGUGUGUUCUCCUUUAAGGAUAUGUGUGUGUUUUUAAUGAACUGUGCUUUCACA